GUUUCUUAUUGAAAUAUUUAUUAAGAAUACAAUUUCAAUAAAUAAAUUAUAAUUUGUUAAAACAAUUGUAAUAUUACUUACUGGAUCAUCCUCAAUUUUCUUUUCAUACGUACUGGUUGCUUUAAAAACUUCAUUGCAAUCGCGUUCAUAACAAUGAAAUAAUCGAGUAUUCCUAUCAUUAAAAUAAAAAUAUUGCCAAGUAAAAGCAAUGUUUAUUCGUUCGCAUUUUGCGAUUUAAACGACAAGUAUUUUUUGCAUCGACUGCGUGCAACGCAGUCAUUAGAGUCAGUGUUUGUUCGCAAAGUAUUUUGUUCUUUUAACAAUCGCACAGAUUGUAUUUAUAAAAGACAGUAAAGUUAGCGAAGUAAAUUCAGUGACAGUUCAUUAAUAAAUAACUAGAAAUAAUCGAGUAUUCCUAUCAUUAAAAUAAAAAUAUUGCCAAGUAAAAGCAAUGUUUAUUCGUUCGCAUUUUGCGAUUUAAACGACAAGUAUUUUUUGCAUCGACUGCGUGCAACGCAGUCAUUAGAGUCAGUGUUUGUUCGCAAAGUAUUUUGUUCUUUUAACAAUCGCACAGAUUGUAUUUAUAAAAGACAGUAAAGUUAGCGAAGUAAAUUCAGUGACAGUUCAUUAAUAAAUAACUAGCGCUAAUUAGAUUCAGUGCAUCACUGAAGAGAAUCUCAUUCAAUUUCAAUAUCGAUCUACUUCAUUUUCAACCACCUACGAAUCAUUCCGCCUCGAAUUUCAAUCUAAAUUAUCGACAAGUGUUUUGGAGCCAUCGCAGAACUUCUUAAGUAUGAUCAUCCAGGGAAUCAUCGGCGAAUCAUUGAGGGAUAAAUUCUAUCUGAGAGUUGAAUGAGGGUCCGAAGUAUUAUCGAAUGGCUCGAUUUAUUAUAAAUUUUUAUACGAGAGGAUACGAGUAGGAUAGAAAGAACGGACAUGAUUCAAAUUCCAAUUUCGAGAUUCAUUUUGUUUGCUCGAAAAUUUGAUUAGAUUAUCUCGCGAACGUAAAUUUUAGAAUAAAGUCAUCGUUAACCUAUGGAUCUGCAGAUGCAUUAAUCUUCACGUGGUGAGAUCUGGAUCAAUAGUAACUUAUGACAUAUUUUAUGUAUAAUAUAGUAGUAUAAAUACUAUCGAAUGAAUGGCUGCAUCUUUCAAUGUAUUUUUAAAAAUCCCUUCAAUUGUAAUUCUGAUUAAAUGACUUAAAGUACUAACACUAUAAAUUGCCAAUAAUACUUC
Long non-coding RNA from Vespa mandarinia (Asian giant hornet), 1236 nucleotides. The record is from RefSeq and is a predicted model, not a curated record. NCBI's taxonomy places the organism in Eukaryota, Metazoa, Arthropoda, Insecta, Hymenoptera, Vespidae.